AUUGAACGCUGGCGGCAUGCUUUACACAUGCAAGUCGAACGGUAACAGGUCUUUCGGGAUGCUGACGAGUGGCGAACGGGUGAGUAAUGUAUCGGAACGUGCCCAGUAGUGGGGGAUAACUAACUCGAAAGAGUGGCUAAUACCGCAUGAGAUCUCUGGAUGAAAGCGGGGGGACCGUAAGGCCUCGCGCUACUGGAGCGGCCGAUAUCAGAUUAGGUAGUUGGUAGGGUAAAAGGCCUACCAAGCCAACGAUCUGUAGCUGGUCUGAGAGGACGACCAGCCACACUGGGACUGAGACACGGCCCAGACUCCUACGGGAGGCAGCAGUGGGGAAUUUUGGACAAUGGGCGCAAGCCUGAUCCAGCAAUGCCGCGUGCAGGACGAAGGCCUUCGGGUUGUAAACUGCUUUUGUACGGAACGAAAAGCCUCUGGUUAAUACCUGGGGGUCAUGACGGUACCGUAAGAAUAAGCACCGGCUAACUACGUG
Molecule: ribosomal RNA, 487 nt
Filed under: uncultured bacterium
Lineage: Bacteria
Description: bacterial SSU rRNA
Rfam family: Bacterial small subunit ribosomal RNA
Source: RNAcentral